Long non-coding RNA from Mus musculus (house mouse), 382 nucleotides. RefSeq annotates it as expressed sequence AA465934. NCBI's taxonomy places the organism in Eukaryota, Metazoa, Chordata, Mammalia, Rodentia, Muridae. The transcript is spliced from 3 exons. The record is from RefSeq and is marked validated.
GAUGCAGGCCCGAAGAGGCGGAGGGGAGAGGACGCGGGAAGCCAGUGUGCCCCGGACGCAGUGUCCUAGCGCUCAUCGGGUCAUCCUCUGCAGCCCAGAUUGUCCCUGUCCAAGACUGCGGAAUGAAGAAUCCAGAACCUGUGUGUAAGUCCUCUCUGGUCAGCAAAGGAAUCUGUGCAGAGCGCCAUGAAUUAGAGGAUGGGGGAAUGAGUGCUUGAAGAUGCCCGAGGUAUGGUCCUUAUCCGUGUGACAUUUGGAGGUCCAGGUGAGAAAUCAGGGUUGAAAACUGCAUGGAGGAUUCAUCAUUUCUGCCCUGAAUUGGAAUCAAUUCCUUAUUGACUUAUUAUUACUGUAUUAAAAGUGUUUUUAAUUAACCAUGGUA